CCAAGCGGCAGCUCAAAAGUGGCUUACAGGUGGUAGUGUGUGGACACUUGUGUUCCGAUCCCACAUCUAAUCCAUAUUAAAAGUCAAUUGUGGAAGCACAUUUUCUGGCCUUUAAGGUAAACUGAGGUACUAGCAUUCAGGAGCUGCUUUUAAGCCACUGUUCCAUUUUAUUUAUUUUUUUAAUUGCGUGCAGACGCAGCCUAGAAGCUAACAGGCUUCCAGAUGAGGCCAAAAAUUCAGAUUUCUUGCUCCCAGCCCCCAAACCCUCCUGUUACACCAGGGGCAAAUUGUUACACCCAGGACCCAGGCUAAUGGGGUGCAGGAAGGGUGUCGUAGGUUCAUAACCAAAUUGAAGCACCCCUCCCUCUCUUCCGGGGAAGCACCUGGGACCCUACGCUAAUGGGGUACGGGAAGGGUGUCCUACAGUCAGGGAGCAAAGAUCAGCCAAGAAGUUGCUACCUUGGCCCCCGGUCCCUUCUGUUGUCUCCCCGCCCUUUGCUGAUCCCAGAGGAGACCGAAGGGUCCACCUGUGCGGAACGAUCAUCGCAAUAUUCACAAAUCUCAGAGCAAGAGCGAACGUUUAGGAAACACGCAGCCAUUAGAAUCCGAAGCACAAAUUUCAGCAGGCACCCUGAACUUUCAGUGCACUUGGUUCCUGGCUCCUAGGGUUGUAGGUUUUUGUUUUGCUUUGUGUUGAUUUUAAGAAUGUAUUAUAGAUACUGGUUUUCAAGUUCACAUUUUAGCCGAAAUGUUUAUUCUUUUCAGGACAUUGGCGGAGCGAUGAAUCCCUUAGAAACUGCCAUACUGUUCCAGCUGCUUUUCAUAGGCACAGGUGUCUUUGCAAAAUAAAGAAUAAAAAUACGGCCACCUUCCGAACCCAUGCAGACUCCACGUGCAGGAUCGUGCCUGGAGGCCAGAUCUGCCAUUAAUGCCCCUGUGACCAACUGUGGUGGCCAAGUCUUGAAUGCCAUGCCAGCAUAUCUGUCUAAGAGUGAUCAACCCCACUUGAGACCAUGCAAGAAAGGUGUAUCGGCAGUGCCCAAACAUCAACAGCUUCUUGGACAUCUUCNCAUAAGAUCCACCGGCUAUCAACCAUACAAGUAUCAGAAAGACAAAGCAGGAAAUGCAGAGUCCCACAGUGCUGUGUAUGGCUUCAGCUGGAAUUUCAGAAAAUUCCAUUCUGUUCCACAAUCUCUGGACUUCGAGACAGUGG
RNAcentral lists this long non-coding RNA (1213 nucleotides) under Salvator merianae (Argentine black and white tegu). RNAcentral's name for it is "lncRNA (ENSSMRG00000015263.1)". Lineage: Eukaryota; Metazoa; Chordata; Lepidosauria; Squamata; Teiidae. The record is from RNAcentral.